GGGGGAAUAUUGCACAAUGGGCGCAAGCCUGAUGCAGCCAUGCCGCGUGUAUGAAGAAGGCCUUCGGGUUGUAAAGUACUUUCAGUCGGGAGGAAGGUGGUAAGGUUAAUAACCUUAUCAAUUGACGUUACCGACAGAAGAAGCACCGGCUAACUCCGUGCCAGCAGCCGCGGUAAUACGGAGGGUGCAAGCGUUAAUCGGAAUUACUGGGCGUAAAGCGCACGCUGGCGGUUGAUUGAGUCAGAUGUGAAAUCCCCGGGCUUAACCCGGGAAUUGCAUCUGAUACUGGUCAGCUAGAGUCUUGUAGAGGGGGGUAGAAUUACAUGUGUAGCGGUGAAAUGCGUAGAGAUGUGGGGGAAUACCGGUGGCGAAGGCGGCCCCCUGGACAAAGGCUGACGCUCAGGUGCGAAAGCGUGGGGAGCAAACAGG
Molecule: ribosomal RNA, 429 nt
Filed under: Chloroflexota bacterium
Lineage: Bacteria; Bacillati; Chloroflexota
Description: Chloroflexi bacterium partial 16S ribosomal RNA
Rfam family: Bacterial small subunit ribosomal RNA
Source: RNAcentral